CCCUUAGACGUUCUGGGCCGCACGCGCGCUACACUGACACAGGCAACGAGCUACUCUUCACCGAAAGGUGUGGGUAAUCUUUUGAAACUUUGUCGUGCUGGGGAUAGAUCCUUGCAAUUUUUGAUCUUAAACGAGGAAUUCCUAGUAAGCGCAAGUCAUCAACUUGCGUUGAUUACGUCCCUGCCCUUUGUACACACCGCCCGUCGCUCCUACCGAUUGGGUGUGCUGGUGAAAUGUUCGGAUCGGCCGUUUGUCGCGGUUUCCGCGUCAUGUGGCUGAGAAGUUCAUUAAACCCUCCCACCUAGAGGAAGGAGAAGUCGUAACA
This 325-nucleotide ribosomal RNA is filed under the name uncultured eukaryote. RNAcentral describes it as "partial 18S ribosomal RNA". It matches the Rfam family "Eukaryotic small subunit ribosomal RNA", at positions 1470 to 1796 of the family's 1831-position model. The record is from RNAcentral.